Molecule: ribosomal RNA, 253 nt
Filed under: uncultured bacterium
Lineage: Bacteria
Description: partial 16S ribosomal RNA
Rfam family: Bacterial small subunit ribosomal RNA
Source: RNAcentral
UACGUAGGUGGCAAGCGUUGUCCGGAUUUACUGGGCGGAAAGAGCGCGCAGGCGGUCGUUCAAGUCGCGUGUGAAAGCCCCCGGCUCAACUGGGGAGGGUCACGCGAUACUGAUCGACUGGAAGGCAGGAGAGGGUAGUGGAAUUCCCGGUGUAGUGGUGAAAUGCGUAGAUAUCGGGAGGAACACCAGUGGCGAAGGCGACUACCUGGCCUGUUCUUGACGCUGAGGCGCGAAAGCUAGGGGAGCAAACGGG